This 495-nucleotide long non-coding RNA is filed under the name Homo sapiens (human). RNAcentral's name for it is "non-protein coding MIR217HG:5". The record is from RNAcentral. Lineage: Eukaryota; Metazoa; Chordata; Mammalia; Primates; Hominidae.
AGCAUACCAUGUGUUACACAGCAGAUACUGAAGCUGUAAACAGUAAAUUCAUACUUACGAUGUUAGAAAAAUAAGAUUCUGAUUAUGAAACAAAAGGUUGUUUUCAGUUGAAGAAGUAAAUAAUAGUAAGAAUAAGGAAUUUUGCAAAAGCCAAGGCUUCAAGACUUAAAAAGGAUUCAAAAGACACCAAAGGUUCACUUUUGGCUAAAAGCUAAAUGUGAACCUUUCAAAAUGAACUCAUUGCUGUCUUCCUCUCAAAAGGCCUUCAGAUGGUCAGAUAAAGUACCUGAUGCUGAAAAACAGGAAAUUGAAUCAUGUCUCCAAAAUGUGCCUUUUGUCAUGCACUGUUACAGCUAUAUUUCUUGGAUGUGAAUCCUGCCAGAUUGUGGCAUGGCACUCAACUCCUCAAAGAAGCCAUUGAGUUCCAGUCAGGCACUGCGAGAAUUGCAGAAGAAAUCUCAAACUUGGCCCCUGCCUCCAAGAAGCUGACAAUGG